RNAcentral lists this ribosomal RNA (253 nucleotides) under uncultured bacterium. RNAcentral's name for it is "partial 16S ribosomal RNA". It matches the Rfam family "Bacterial small subunit ribosomal RNA", at positions 524 to 776 of the family's 1533-position model. The record is from RNAcentral.
UACGUUGGGGGCUAGCGUUGUUCGGAAUUACUGGGCGUAAAGCGUGCGCAGGCGGCUUCUCAAGUCAGGGGUGAAAGCCCAGAGCUCAACUCUGGAAUUGCCUUUGAGACUGAGUGGCUUGAGUACGAGAGAGGUGAGUGGAAUUCCCAGUGUAGAGGUGAAAUUCGUAGAUAUUGGGAAGAACACCGGUGGCGAAGGCGGCUCACUGGCUCGUAACUGACGCUCAUGCGCGACAGCGUGGGGAUCAAACGGG